GACGAACGCUGGCGGCGUGCUUAACACAUGCAAGUCGAACGGUGAAGGGGCCUGCUUUUGUGGGCCCUGGAUGAGUGGCGAACGGGUGAGUAACACGUGAGUAACCUGCCCCCUUCUUCUGGAUAACCGCAUGAAAGUGUGGCUAAUACGGGAUAUUCUGGGUCUGUCGCAUGAUGGGUCUGGGAAAGAUUGCGCCUUUGGGUGUUUGUGGUGGGGGAUGGGCUCGCGGCCUAUCAGCUUGUUGGUGGGGUGAUGGCCUACCAAGGCGGUGACGGGUAGCCGGCCUGAGAGGGUGGGCGGUCACACUGGGACUGAGACACGGCCCAGACUCCUACGGGAGGCAGCAGUGGGGAAUAUUGCACAAUGGGCGCAAGCCUGAUGCAGCGACGCCGCGUGAGGGAUGGAGGCCUUCGGGUUGUAAACCUCUUUCGCCAGUGAAGCAGGCCUGCUCCGUGUGGGUGGGUUGACGGUAGCUGGAGAAGAAGCGCCGGCUAACUACGUG
RNAcentral lists this ribosomal RNA (502 nucleotides) under uncultured bacterium. RNAcentral describes it as "partial 16S ribosomal RNA". It matches the Rfam family "Bacterial small subunit ribosomal RNA", at positions 28 to 507 of the family's 1533-position model. The record is from RNAcentral.